UCCUCUACUGAGCACACAGCUGGACUGUUGGGUUGGACAGGAGAAGGUUGGCGGGGGGAAGGAGAUCCAACCGACUGAAUGCUGCUGACGAUCACUGGUGUGGCCUGGCUCUCCUCUACAGCCUCCUGCAAAAAGAAGAUCAGCGGGACGGAGGUGGAGAGAGUGGAGAGCUUCAAGUACCUGGGUGUUAACAUCACCAGGACCUAACGUGGUCCUGUCACAUCAACACCCUGCUGAAGAAAGCUCCACAGCGUCUCUACCACCUCAGCGACUUUAAGCUCCUCUCAAGGUGCUCAGGAACUUCUACAUCUGCACCAUUGAGAAUGUUUUGUCUGGAAGUAUCAGCACCUGGAUGGGCAGCAGCACCCAGCAGGACUUCUUGGCCCUGAGGAGGGGGGUCCACUGGACUGAGAACCAUCAGAACCACCCUCCCCAACCUGCAGGACAUUUACAACAAACUAGCAAGGAAGAUUGCUAGUGAGCCCACCCACCCCAGCCACAGAUUGUUCUCGCUUCGGCCACCAGGGCGGCGUUAGCGCUGCCUGAAGGCAAACACAGAGAGGAUGAGGAGGAGCUUCUUGCCACAGGCUGUCCUCCUGCUGAACCUGAAACAGUAACUCAAUAGACAAUCAACCUGCAAAUCCAUUCCACCAUACUGUUUACACUUUGCCUUGGAUGAAUAUGUGUGUGUAUAUAUAUAUAUAUAUAUAUAUAUAUAUAUAUAUAUAUAUAUAUAUAUAUAUAUAUAUAUAUAUAUAUAUAUAUAUAUAUAUAUAUAUAUAUAUACACACACAGUGUUUCCUCUAGGAUUUUUUCCCAGCAGCUCUGCUCCUGCUCCACAUUUUUUGGAAGAUCUCUAACAUUUGAACACAGUCAAGUCUUAGACUCUGGCCCUUGAUUUGUGACUUAGAUUCCACUUCAUCACUAACUUUGACAGUGGUUGAUGUGGGAGGCUGACCUUAGCUAGACCGGGAUGCUUUAGCUGCACGUAUUUCUCCAGCGCUCCUCUGCAGCGCUCCACGAUGUGCUCCAUCUGCAGGUAGCUGGCAGCAGUCAGGUAGUUGACGAUCUCCUCGGGGUUGAAGUGCAGGAUGCCGGUGUAGCAGGACUGGAGCAGGUCGCACACCACCGAGGAGCUGUACAGCAUCGACACCUGGAUAAUAACAUGGAACACAGUCACAGAAGUUUAACUCGGCAUGGAAUCCUGAAAAGAAAAUCCCAGUGACAGCGUGAGGUUGAGUUUAUGCUGGCCAACCUGCAGCUUGGGCGAUGGGUUGAGGAGGAACUGGUCCCGCAGGAAGGGCGAGCAUGCAGCCAGCACAACCUUGUGUCCCCUGAAUACCUGGUUGUUGCUGGCGACGAUGGUGACGUCACAGAAAUGCUGGCGGGACCUCAGCGAAUUCAUGUGCUUCAAGGUGAUGUCCCCGUGGCCCGGUAACCGGAAAAACACCAUCUCCAUCUUGUCUGAGGAGAAACAAGGACGGGCGUGGUGACAAAUUCCAAGAACUGAGCACCCAUUACGGUUAACUCAGUAACAACACAGACACAAAAUACAGGCCGAAUAAAAGCCACUUGAACACUGUGUUCAAUGUCUGAAAUAGGAUCAAAGACAGUAUAAGCUCCUUCCUAGCCCCUCUUGAACUCAAGAUUGAAGAGAAUAUCUUUAUUGUCAUCAUACAUGGGAGCAUGACAGAAGUAUAAGUAGCUGCAUUGAAAUAAGCUAAAUAACAACAAUAAAUAAUAAAAUCAAACGUACAUAUAAAACAAAA
Amphiprion ocellaris (clown anemonefish) is the source of this 1769-nucleotide long non-coding RNA. RefSeq lists it as uncharacterized. Lineage: Eukaryota; Metazoa; Chordata; Actinopteri; Pomacentridae. The transcript has 2 exons. The record is from RefSeq and is a predicted model, not a curated record.